CUCAGCGUAGCAUAGUGGUAAGGAGCAGGGCUGGUAACCAAAAGGUUGCUGGUUCAAUUCCCCGCUGCUGAAA
This 73-nucleotide transfer RNA is filed under the name Megalops atlanticus (tarpon). RNAcentral's name for it is "tRNA-OTHER". The record is from RNAcentral. Lineage: Eukaryota; Metazoa; Chordata; Actinopteri; Elopiformes; Megalopidae.